AUUGAACGCUGGCGGCAGGCUUAACACAUGCAAGUCGAGCGGAGAGAGGUAGCUUGCUACUGAUCUUAGCGGCGGACGGGUGAGUAAUGCUUAGGAAUCUGCCUAUUAGUGGGGGACAACAUUUCGAAAGGAAUGAUAAUACCGUAUACGUCCUACGGGAGAAAGCAGGGGAUCUUCGGACCUUGCGCUAAUAGAUGAGCCUAGGUCGGGUGAGCUAGUUGGUGGGGUAAAGGCCUACCAAGGCGACGAUCUGUAGCGGGUCUGAGAGGAUGAUCCGCCACACUGGGACUGAGACACGGCCCAGACUCCUACGGUAGGCAGCAGUGGGGCAUAUUGUACAAUGGGCGGAAGCCUGAUCCGGCCAUGCCGCGUGUGUGAAGAAGGCCUUAUGGUUGUAAAGCACUUUAAGCGAGGAGGAGGCUACUUUAGUUAAUACCUAGAGAUAGUGGACAUUACUCGCAGAAUAAGCACCGGCUAACUCUGUGCCAGCCGCCGCAGUAA
This 501-nucleotide ribosomal RNA is filed under the name uncultured bacterium. Its description in RNAcentral is "partial 16S ribosomal RNA". It matches the Rfam family "Bacterial small subunit ribosomal RNA", at positions 30 to 523 of the family's 1533-position model. The record is from RNAcentral.